GAUGAACGCUGGCGGCGUGCCUAAUACAUGCAAGUCGAGCGAACAGACGAGGAGCUUGCUCCUCUGACGUUAGCGGCGGACGGGUGAGUAACACGUGGAUAACCUACCUAUAAGACUGGGAUAACUUCGGGAAACCGGAGCUAAUACCGGAUAAUAUAUUGAACCGCAUGGUUCAAUAGUGAAAGACGGUUUUGCUGUCACUUAUAGAUGGAUCCGCGCCGCAUUAGCUAGUUGGUAAGGUAACGGCUUACCAAGGCAACGAUGCGUAGCCGACCUGAGAGGGAGACUGAGCCAACUGGAACUGAGACGGGGUCCAAAACCCGAGGGGGGGCAGCAGUGGGGAAUCUUACGCAAUGGGGGAAAGGUGAACGGAGCAAAGCCGAGUGAGAGAUGAAGGUGUUCGGAUCAUAAAACUAUGUUAUAAGGGGAAAAAAAAAGGGUAAGCAAAAGGGAAGCUUUUGACGGUACCUAACCAAAAAGCCACGGCUAACUACGU
This 496-nucleotide ribosomal RNA is filed under the name uncultured bacterium. Its description in RNAcentral is "partial 16S ribosomal RNA". It matches the Rfam family "Bacterial small subunit ribosomal RNA", at positions 28 to 506 of the family's 1533-position model. The record is from RNAcentral.